UGCUGUGAUGGUGUAAUUUGCGUCUUACUCUGCACACAGCGACAGUUGCCUGCUGUCAUGAGCUGGUGCAGAAGGUUGAUGAAGACAAAUUCUGAGCA
This is a small nucleolar RNA of Trichomycterus rosablanca, 98 nucleotides long. RefSeq annotates it as small nucleolar RNA SNORD16. The record is from RefSeq and is a predicted model, not a curated record. The transcript has a single exon. Lineage: Eukaryota; Metazoa; Chordata; Actinopteri; Siluriformes; Trichomycteridae.